CUAUCAGCUUUGGAUGGUAGGAUAUGGGCCUACCAUGGCAUUAACGGGUAACGGGGAAUUAGGGUUUGAUUCCGGAGAGGGAGCCUUAGAAACGGCUACCACAUCCAAGGAAGGCAGCAGGCGCGUAAAUUACCCAAUCCUGAUACAGGGAGGUAGUGACAAUAAAUAACAAUGCUCUGGCUCUUCGAGUCGGGCAAUUGGAAUGAGAACAAUUUAAAUCCCUUAACGAGGAUCAAUUGGAGGGCAAGUCUGGUGCCAGCAGCCGCGGUAAUUCCAGCUCCAAUAGCGUAUAUUAAAGUUGUUGCAGUUAAAAAGCUCGUAGUUGGAUUGCUGCUUAGGAUGUCCGGUCCGCUCCCUCUGGGAGUGCGUACUUAUGGAUGUUCAAGGCAUUGUUGUGAGGCGACCUUUCUGCCAUUAAGUUGGUGGGUUGGCGGGCUUCCAUCAUCUACUGUGAAAAAAUUAGAGUGUUUAAAGCAGGCGUUUGCUCAUUUGAAUACAUUAGCAUGGAAUAAUAAGAUACGACCUUGGUGGUCUAUUUUGUUGGUUUGCACACCAAGGUAAUGAUUAAUAGGGACAGUUGGGGGUAUUCAUAUUUCAGCGUCAGAGGUGAAAUUCUUGGAUCGCUGAAAGAU
Molecule: ribosomal RNA, 632 nt
Filed under: uncultured Oomycota
Lineage: Eukaryota; Oomycota
Description: SSU rRNA
Rfam family: Eukaryotic small subunit ribosomal RNA
Source: RNAcentral